GGAUCUCUGUGGAAGGGAGAAUCACCUCCACUCCUCCUUCAUCCUCCACUCCACUGACCAUCACCUCCAUCUCUCUUACUUCUGGUUCAUCUUUUCCCACCAUCACAGUCGUUUCUGCCAUUUUUAUCUUUCUGGUUUUGCUCUCAUUAAUUCUUCUGGUUCUUCUGGUGAGACGAUGUUUCUGCAGGAAACCUGAAGCUGAAGAAGGAAAAGAUGGAGGAAAGGAAAUGAGAGAACUGAAAACCUUCAUUAACCAGCUGCAGCCAAUCAGGAGCAGCAGAGGAACCUCUACAUGUGUCCUCUACUCAGCGCUGAGGACAGACGUCCUCCAGGGACAGAUCGUCUGCAGAGCCACAGCGGCUCCAGUCUGAGGGAACCUGGUCCAGAUUUUCUCUUCCAGCUCCAGAAAACACAGCAGAAAGUUCUGGAGCUGCUUUCCAAACCUUUAACAUCUGGUCCACAGUUUCUUUUCAAGCAUGUUAAGAUAAAUGUGUGUUUUGCUUUCCUUGCUCUUGUGCAGGAUUUUAUACUACAAUCAUGUUUGGAAUAAAUAAACAGCAUGAAACCC
Molecule: long non-coding RNA, 568 nt
Organism: Poecilia latipinna (sailfin molly)
Lineage: Eukaryota; Metazoa; Chordata; Actinopteri; Cyprinodontiformes; Poeciliidae
Exons: 4
Source: RefSeq, a predicted model, not a curated record